Molecule: long non-coding RNA, 255 nt
Filed under: Brassica rapa (field mustard)
Lineage: Eukaryota; Viridiplantae; Streptophyta; Magnoliopsida; Brassicales; Brassicaceae
Description: long non-coding RNA (BRAP_LNC004075)
Source: RNAcentral
AUAACCACAAGUCACGUGAAAACGAAGAUAAUAGACACUUGGAACAUAAAGAAGGACAAGAAAAAACUGGCAUUUUGAAGACCAUACUAUAUAAAUUUUAGAAUACAAAUUAAUACGUAGUAACUAAACCUCGGUGUAGACAAAUGAUCAACUCUAUAGUGUAGCAUAUGAAUAUGAUUUGAGUCAUGCACUUGCACAAAAACAAUUUGGCUAACUUCUUCUGGUUUUGAUAAAAAUAUUAUGAACAAACAAAAA